AGUUAUGUAUUCAAAGAUUGUGAAAGAAAAUAGUACAUUAUAAUAAAUUCCUUAUUCUCAUCAGUUCCUGAUGUUUAUAUACUUUUUUCAUAUCUUCGGCAUGCAGGAAAGAACUCUUUUAUCUGGUUUGGACCAACACCACGGGUAAACUUAACAGAUCCUGAGCUAAUUAGAGAUGUAUUUAACAAAAUGUACGACUUCCAAAAGCCUAUUGCGAAUCCGCUUGGAAAGUUACUAGCUAAUGGUCUUAUAAGUCAUGAGGGAGAACAGUGGAGCAAGCACAGAAAGAUUAUCAACCCUGCAUUCCAUUUAGAAAAAUUGAAGGAAAGUUUCCCUUUACUUGAUAUAGAAUCCAAUUGUGUUUAUCUAGGCCGCAACAUAUAACUUUUCAAGCAUCACAAUUAGGUUUAUAAGAAAACAUGAUUUGAAUUCUUAAUGCACAUGUGCUUAGUUUAACACCUCUUUGUCUCUUACAAACAGAUCAUGUUACCAAUAUACCUCAAAAGUUGCGAUGAUCUGAUUAGCAAAUGGGAGAAAAUGUUGGCUUCAGAUGGAUCAUGUGAAAUGGACGUAUGGCCUUUCCUUCAAAAUUUGGCGAGUGAUGUUAUUUCUCGAGCUGCAUUUGGAAGUAGUUAUGAAGAGGGAAAAAGAAUAUUUCAACUUCAAACCGAACAAGCCAAACUUACAAUGUCAGUUAUGACGAAAGUUUACAUCCCUGGAUGGAGGUAAGAUUAAUAUUUAUAUCACAAGUUGAAUUCGAAAAUGCUAUAUUUUGGAUAAAACUAAGCACUAGAUUCUAGUGAUACAGUAAAUGGAGAUUUGGCUCCUCUAAAAUUAAGUUAAAAUAAAGUAAGAAGACCAGAAUAAAAUAUUUCAACGCAUGUCACAUGGUUUGUUAUACUUGUGCUUGUAAUAACAACCAUUGAUUUAUUAAUCAAUGGUUUAUAGUAUUGUAUACUCUAAAGUGAGUUGUUCACUUUGGAGGAGUAAGAUCAAGGAAAUAGCAUUCCCUUCAGAUCAUUUGAAUUACAUACCAAUUAUGUUUAUUUUGAAGGUUUCUACCAACUACUACACAUAGGAGAAUGAAAGAAAUUGACCGAGACGUUAAAGCGUCGCUUACAGAUAUGAUUAACAAGAGAGAAAGAGCACUAAAGGCAGGUGAAGCCACUAAGGAUGACUUAUUAGGUAUACUUUUAGAGUCAAAUCACAAAGAAAUGGAAGAACACGGCAACAAUAAGAAUGUUGGAAUGAGUCUUGAUGAUGUAAUAGAGGAAUGCAAGCUCUUCUACUUUGCAGGCCAAGAGACCACUUCUGUUUUGCUUGUUUGGACAAUGGUGUUGUUGAGUAGGUACCCUGAUUGGCAAGAACGUGCAAGGGAAGAAGUAUUACAAGUUUUUGGCAACAAUAAACCUGACUUUGACGGGCUAAGUCAUCUUAAGAUCGUAAGUAUUAUGUACUUCCCUUCAUGUUAAACAAUAUAUGCCGUCAUACUUAACAUUGAUGUAACUCUUUUUGAUACAGGUCACUAUGAUUUUGUACGAGGUUCUUAGGUUAUACCCACCAGCAAUCGCGCUUGCUCGAAGUGUUCACAAAGAUGUGAUACUUGGAAACCUAGCAUUGCCAGCCGGAGUGCAGGUUUUCUUAUCGAUAAUUUUGGUUCACCAUGACAUAGAACUAUGGGGUGAUGAUGCUAAGGUGUUCAAUCCCGAGAGAUUUUCAGAAGGUGUUUUAAAAGCAACAAAUGGAAGAAAUUCAUUUUUUCCAUUUGGAGGGGGUCCUAGAAUUUGCAUUGGACAAAACUUUUCUAUGUUGGAAGCAAAGAUGGCAAUAGCAAUGAUUUUACAACGUUUCGACUUCGAACUUUCUCCAAGUUAUGCUCAUGCCCCGGCCACAGUAAUUACGCUUCAGCCACAAUAUGGUGCUCAUAUAAUUCUACGUAAAGUGGAAUUGUAAAAUUUAUAAUUUGCUUAUUCCACUAUUAGAAUGAUUGCAAUUAUUGAAAUAUAUAUCGUUUCCUUUUAUUAUUAUUCUUCUUUGAUGGUUGUUUAUUUUUCAUUAUGUCACCUUAAAUUAAGUUGUUGAUUAGUUGUAUUCUCUCCUAUAAAAGGAGCACCAUUCUUAUUGAAUAAAAUACUUUGAAGAAUAUAGAGUAAUUUCUACAUGGUAUUAGAGCCCCCGAUUUCGGGGGUCUUGCUUCCCGCAUAAACCCUAGCCGCCAUUAAUACGACAUCUUUUUUUUUUUUUUUUUUUUUUGGUUUUUGAUAUCCAGCAACACUGUUCAUCGAUACCGGCACUGUUCAUACGAGGUACUGUUCACGUCAUACUUUUUUUUUAUCAAAGCUAGAAAAAUUAAAUUGUAAAACAGAAGAUGCCUGAAUCGUUUACAACAAAAACUGGCCAACUAUGACCAUACUCAACUAAAACAAAUCUCAAUUAAAACAACAUAUAUGUAUAGAAGCAAAUCAACUGGCUAGACUAAGCUGCCAAAGUCCAAACAACUAGCUACUUGCACAUAUUAAGAAGCAUAUUUUGGAUUGUUUUUUAUUACACCCUUUUUGGAACGAGUUUGGAUGUGCUCACUACUUGUGAUGCCAUCCGAGCCUUUGCCUCUUGCAGAGCUGCUACUCUUUCUUGAUAUCCUGCUGGACUUAGGUUAGUGAAUAGCAUCUGGUUGUGCCAUCAAGAACUUCAGAGCCACAGGGUGCAUAUUCAUCAUUUCAGUGUCAGUGUCAAGGUCCAUAGUGCCAUCUGUCGUGUGGUCAGAAUCCACCACGUCCCUCCAAAAUUUGCUAAGAAUUUGGGCACUUUUCUUGGCUACAGUAGAAACAUUUUUAGAGCCACCAAUAGCAUGAAACCAAUAAAUCAACAUUCUCGAGUUCAACAUUUAAUGCCUCCUCUGGAACCUCAACAUUAUCUGUUGUUAACAAGGCAAAAGAGUUUUGCAAUUCGACCUCCGAAUCAGACUUAUAGGCAGGUUCUGACGGAUCAGAGGAGUGUAUAACAGGAACAAUGAUGCUAUGAACAGAAGAAGAUUGCAAUUCAAUAGGAAAAGUUUCAGCCAAAACAGGACGAGAUUGCUCUCGAUUAAACUCUACAACUUCAGAACGGAUGCCAACACCCACAUUCUGAGGUUGUGCAUUCUGCUUAUGUUGCAUCCAAGACGAAGAAUCAGCGCCUGGGAAUGAAUGCUUCUUACUGAUCAACUCUGCGCCAAUUCCUUGAAAAUUGGAACCAUGCUUUUUUUUUAUAACCCUGAAGAAAAUCCCGAUUCUUUUUUAUAAAAAAAAAAAAUAAUAAUUUUUUUUACCACAUGUGACGUGGCAUGACACGUGAUAGUGUCACGUAGACAGUCAAAUGUCACGUCAUGUUGACUAACAGAAGAAUUUGACGGAGGAGAUAAAUUGAUUAAUGUUAUACAAUUUAAAAUGAUAAUUGAAGUUUUGUUAAUGUUACGGAGGUAAUUGACGAAGCUUACAAUUUCAGAAAUUAAUUGUCUAUUUACUCUAGUAAGUAGUCUUAAAAGGACAAAUUCUUAUACACCCACCAAUAAAGAUAAGUAGAGUAGACUGUACUAAAUUGAUAUCAAUCAAAAUCAUUCAUUUAUCUUAUAAUACUGUAAUACUAUUUUUGUUGAUGAUAUAACAUCAAAUGUUUGAAAACUUAGUGUCCCACGACCAUAGAACCAACCACUUAAUAUACAAUCUCAAACAUUCAAUAUUAUGAAAGAUGCUUUAAGAAAAUCCAAAAAGAAUAAGCCAUUCCAAUAUGACUAAAUAAUUGGAAUAAAUUAUUCCGCAAUAGUGGCCUUAUAACAUAACUCAUUUGAUUGAGAUAUUGUAUUGUACUAUGUAAAAGUCGGAAUUUUACCCAUGAAAUCUUCGAUUAUUGACGGUGGAUUCUAAGUUUCUAACCAAUAAAAAAUAAUUCUGCGGCCGACUAAUUUUAAAAGAAAUCCAAAAAAAGUAUGUUAUUAGAUAAUUGUCUUUAUCUUAAAUAAAUGCAAAACCGACAAAAAGUCAUCAAUGACAUAUGGUGUGGACUUUGGACUGUAUUCAGUGCAGAACAACCAAAUUAAUUGAUCUUAUUGUAUUAAUCAUCUUCCCCUACUAAUUUCUUUCAUCCACCAAUUAUCACUCUACACAAAAAUGGCUACAAUUACAUCCAUAAUUCUCUUCACCUUGUUGACACUCUUUUUCAUAUUGGNUAAUUUCUUUCAUCCACCAAUUAUCACUCUACACAAAAAUGGCUACAAUUACAUCCAUAAUUCUCUUCACCUUGUUGACACUCUUUUUCAUAUUGGCAUGGAGGAUUUUGAAUUGGUUAUGGUUGAAGCCAAAGAAGCUAGAGAAAUUCCUAAGAGAACAAGGACUAAAAGGGAAUUCAUAUAGGCUUUUAGUUGGAGACAUGAAUGAUCUUCUUAAGAUGAGAAAGGAAGCAACAUCUAAACCUAUGAAUCUUUCUGAUGAUAUUGUUCCUCGUGUGUUUUCCUUUGUCCAACAAAGUGUUGCAAAACAUGGUAUGUCUCUCUUCUUACUCCUCUUUUUAAUUUCUAGUUUUACUAUAUUUAUAUAAUGAAGAAUAACAAUAAAGUACUAGUUUAGUUUCCCUCAACUAUACUAGUUAGUAAUAAAAAAAUCAAUUUGUAAAAUUCUAUAAAAAUAAUAGAAUUUUUUUUUUUUUUAGAUUAACAGUGAGGAGUGUAAAGUGAGGGAAGGUCUGACAAUAUUUUUACUUAAGUACAGACAAUCUCCAUCUCAUAAACCAACUUUGUAAGGAUGAUUUAAACUCAAUUUUAAAAUGGUAUUAGAGUCUAUGGAUUCGGGACACCCAACAUUUAUACACAAACCAAGCCCAAAAGUGAUGGAAGUGAGGGGUGUGUUGGGAAAAACUUAAAUCCCACAUUGAAAAGAUAAGAAUUAUGAUAAGAGUUUAUAAAAAGAGGCACCCCUCACCUUACAAGCCAGUUUAUAAGGUUGAGUUAGGGUCAAUAUCAAAAUAUAAAAUGGCAUUAGAGUUUCAAAAUCUAACAUGGUAUCAUAGUUUAUCAAUUCGCGCCACCCACCAUUUAUACACGCACCAAACCGAAUAGUGUUGUGUCGGGGCCAACCACAAUUUCUAACAUGGCAUCAGAGCCUCCAAAAGGUUUCCGCCAUCAAAUUACAAAUUGCAUUGCAUUCAACUAUCUACUAGUUGACAACCAUCCUAUUUCCUAAUUGACUUCCCUGUUAUUUCCAACUGAGUAAUUUUGUUGGUUACUCUCAUUGUAAUUCUCUGUAUCAGCUUCCACCACUUAAAGUUAAGGAGUGGAUCAAGAACCAAAUUUUUUGAUUAAAGCCAAUAUAAAUACCAACACAUAAAUUGCACUUACUGACUGAUACUAAACUGACAUUAUCAGGAUAUAAUUUCCUCUUAAAUUGAUAGCAUGUUUUUAUAAAAUAGUAUUCUGAUCCAAAUUUACUCCCUCCGGUCACAUUUAUAAGCAAAAAACAACUUUUUAGGUUCAUUCAAUAAUUAAUGUAUCUGACCUUUAUAUAGACUAGAUACAUUAGUUAUUCAAUAAACCUAAACAAUUUUUUUUGCUUAUAAAUGUGACCAGAAAGAAUGUAGUUAAUACUUAUUUCUUUGAAAUGAAUGACAUCGGUUUAUCAAACUUUGAUGUUAAUCAUUAAGAUUCAUAGUCUUCAUGAUUGUGAUUUUGAUCACUGAUCAUGCUGGGCAGUAGGCUCAAAACAUUACAACAUUGCUAUUCCUUCCAAUAUGUUACUAGCCUGAAUUAAAAUGAUAUUACUUCCUUGUUUGUUCAUGAGGUGUCAGUUCAGUGAAAAGAGUUUGAUUAUGUGGUCUAUUGCUUCGCUAUGGCGGGUUAUGACUUCACAAAUUGGCUAUGGCAUUCAUAAAAAAACCAGCCACACCAUUUGGCCAUCGCCGCCAUUUAACAACACUGUAUGUUUUACAAUACUAUCCUGCACCUUGUUCACUUUGGUGAUUUUUCAAAUUGGCAAUAAUACCUAAAUAUAUAAUAUAAACACUUAAAGUUCUGUAUUCAAAGAUUCCGGAAGCAAAUAGUACACUAUAAUAAGUUGCUAAUUCUCAUCAAUUCUUGAUAUUUAUAUACUUUUUUCAUAUCUUCGGCGUGCAGGAAAGAACUCUUUUAUCUGGUUUGGACCAACACCAAGGGUGAACAUAACAGAUCCUGAUAUGAUUAGAGAUGUAUUUAACAAAAUGUACGACUUCCAAAAGCCUAAUGCGAAUCCGCUUGGAAAGUUACUAGCUAAUGGCCUUGCAAGUCAUGAGGGAGAACAGUGGAGCAAGCACAGAAAGAUUAUCAACCCUGCAUUCCAUGUAGAAAAAUUGAAGGAAAGUUUCCCUUUACUAGAUAUAGAAUCCAAUUGUGUUUAUCUAGUCCGCAACAUAUAAUUGUUCAAGCAUCACAAUUAGGUUUAUAAGAAAACAUGAUUUGAAUUCUUAAUGCACAUGUGCUUAGUUUAACACCUCUUUGUCUCUUACAAACAGAUCAUGUUACCAAUAUACCUCAAAAGAUGCGAUGAUCUGAUUAGCAAAUGGGAGAAAAUGUUGGCUUCAGAUGGAUCAUGUGAAAUGGAAGUAUGGCCUUUCCUUCAAAAUUUAGCAAGAGAUGUUAUUUCUCGAGCUGCAUUUGGAAGUAGUUAUGAAGAGGGAAAAAGAAUAUUUCAACUUCAAACCGAACAAGCCAAACUUACAAUGUCAAUUAUGACAAAAGUUUACAUCCCUGGAUGGAGGUAAGAUUAAUAUUUAUAUCACAAGUUGAAUUAGAAAAAGCUAUAUUUUGGAUAAAACUAAGCACUAGAUUAUAGUGAUACAGUAAAUGGAAAUUUGGAUCCUCUAAAAUUAAGUUAAAAUAAAGUAAGAAAACCAAAAAAAAAUAUUUCAACGCAUGUCACAUGGUUUGUUAUACUUGUGCUUGUAAUAACAACCAUUGAUUAAUUAAUCAAUGGUUUAUAGUAUUGAAUACUCUAAAGUGAAUUGUUCACUUUGGAAGAGUAAGAUCAAAGAAAUAGC
This 7038-nucleotide long non-coding RNA is filed under the name Medicago truncatula (barrel medic). RNAcentral's name for it is "long non-coding RNA (MTRU_LNC008671)". Lineage: Eukaryota; Viridiplantae; Streptophyta; Magnoliopsida; Fabales; Fabaceae. The record is from RNAcentral.